Molecule: RNA transcript, 501 nt
Organism: Microtus ochrogaster (prairie vole)
Lineage: Eukaryota; Metazoa; Chordata; Mammalia; Rodentia; Cricetidae
Gene: C5H2orf76
Gene name: chromosome 6 C2orf76 homolog
Exons: 6
Source: RefSeq, a predicted model, not a curated record
ACGCGUGGGGAGGAACCGCGGGGCACGCCGGGAGCAGGUUUCUCGCCACAUGGCUGCCAAGGAAGCAACGGUCACAGUUCGCCUCAUCCGUUCGUUUGAACAUCGAAAUUUCCGACCUGUAGUAUAUCAUGGAGUUAAUUUGGACCAAACUGUGAAGGAAUUUAUAAUUUUUCUAAAGCAAGAUGUCCCUUUGAGGACCAGCCUGCCUCCGCCACUCAGAAAUUACAAAUACGGAUCUGCAUAUGUGAGCAGUCCACCACGGAGCUCCACUUCUGACCUCCUAUACUUUGCAUAAUUUGCUAAAGUGCAUUUUCUUUUAAAGUAGGACAGAUUUUAAGUAGAUACACUAAAGAUUCUUCAUCAAGCUCACAAAGCAAAGCCAGUGAGACUGAAAUUGCCUUCUUCUGCGGAGAAGAUUAUGAGAGAUACAAGGCUAAUCCCACCUCGUCCUGGUGAGCGUGCGGGCACACCUUCCCAUCCCGCCUUCCAAAGCGAGCUUUU